This is an unclassified non-coding RNA of Heterocephalus glaber (naked mole-rat), 312 nucleotides long. It matches the Rfam family "Metazoan signal recognition particle RNA". Rfam says of the family: The signal recognition particle (SRP) is a universally conserved ribonucleoprotein. The record is from Ensembl. NCBI's taxonomy places the organism in Eukaryota, Metazoa, Chordata, Mammalia, Rodentia, Bathyergidae.
GCCAGGUGUAGUAGUGCACACUUGUAGUCUCAGCUACUCAGGAGGCUGGGGUGGGAGGUUCGCUUGAGUCCAAGAGUUCUGGGCUGCAGUGUGCUAUGCCGAUAGGGUGUCUGCACUAAGUUCUGCAUCAAUAUGGUGACCUCCUGGGAGUGGGGGACCACGAGGUUGCCUAAGGAGGGGCGAACCAGCCCAGGUCAGAAACAGAGCAGGUCAAAACUCCUGUGCUGAUCAGUUUAGUACAAGAUGAGAGAUUUUCUGCAUAUGGAUAGCCUGUUUUCCCAGCAUUAUUUGCUAAGGAGGCUAUCUUUCCUC